UGGUUUCAACGUUGUUUAUUUUAAUUUACAACAAAUUUGAAGGAAGAUAUGAUAUCUUACAUAAAGUCACUAAAGUUGUUGGCACAGUAUUAAGCAAGAGUGUGGUCUAGCGUUGUAGGGAAAACCAGAGUACCUGGAGAAAACCCACUUGUCUGGUUUGGUGACCAUUAACCGAACUCAAAUACGCCCAAGCUGGUUAUUGGACCCGGGUGGCCUUGGUUAGAAGCGAGGGUGUUAACCAGACAACCUUUUAUAUCAUAUUUUAUUUCAUUUGAUAUUUGGUCUUAAAUUAUAUGUGCAAAGUGAAGUUAUACAACUAGUAGAAGUUUUAGAUGUGGCAAGCACAAAUAUGUUAACAAAUCUAGAAUUAUUUUGAAAUGAAAUCACAAAUAAAGGUUAACCAUAGACAAUGUAUUGGGCAAAAUGAUUGCUUGGUUAUUUAUAAUUAAAUGUGCCUUUUCAAGCAUUAACAAGUUCUUAAAUGAUAAUGAUCAUGAUUAACCAAGUUAUUUGAAAGAUUUAUAAGGAUAUUCAUCUAUGUUACAUAUAUUUCAGAAACUUCAAAUCAAGCUGUUUUUAUGUAUGAAAUAUAUUACUAAUUGACCUUACGACAGGAUUUGAUUGACAGGUCCUAUCAGCCAAUCAGAAUGUAGGGCUGAUAAGCCGUGUUGCUAUCCGCCAUUUUGUCCGUCAAACUGACCAGAGUCCGUCAUAUACAUGCGCUGGCAAUUUCUCGCCUUUUUAAGUAUUAUGGUAAAAAGGUGUUGUCAUGGCACUUGUAAUUCGGAUACAAGGUAGCCAGGCCGACUAAAGAUGGCUUCCAAUUCGUUCCGUAUUCGAAACCAGCGAGUUAUUUAGAAAAAUUCAAGUGCUGUAUCAGACUCUGUGGAAGACCUCAUCAACAGCUGAACUUGGAAAUUUUGAAAGAUCGUUCAAAGGCGAAACAUCUUUACGUCUGUACAAAAGUAUUUUUUUGAACAAAACUACUUAUUUCAAUCCACUCAAAAUUUAUUUAAUACUGAAAUUGUCCGUGCAUGACCUAAAUAAGUGUUACUAUUUUUUAAACUAUAAACAUCGUACAUUUAUGCUUUGGCUUGUGUUGUCAAAUCGGCAUUAAUGGCCAUUUAAUAUCAGGUUCAACAUGGACACGAUUGAUUUCAUUCAAGAUAAAGGUAUUUUUGUUGAUACUGUUAUGUAGUUUUUAUAAACUGCUUUGCUUUCAAAGUAAAUCAGGAAAUAUCGUACAACUAAAUUUUUGUCCGAACCAUCGCAUGCUUCCGAAUCUCAUCUACUCGUAUGGUUCCUAUGUAAACAAUGGCUUUUGUAGCUGUCAUUCCGCCACAUUUCAUAGAUUUCUUAUUUUCAUAUCAGCACUUUGUCGACGGGAAAUCCAAUCAAGAAAACCCUGACCCUCAAGCAGCCACUGUAUUUGACCAGCUCACACCAGCUAGGCCUCCUCCAAAACUCAGAUAAAUUUUUGAGCCACCAAAACAAAACGAGAACAGAUCGGUCUGAAUCAUUAAGAACUGAAGCUAACAUCAUAGAGGUACAUCCUUCUAAGAAUCCAUCAAAACAACAUGCUGAACAACUUCAAGAACUCUCUUCAAAAGACCACACUUUCCUGAAAUAAAUAAAAGAUGCCAAUAUUAAAAUAAAUCAGUUACAUGUAUUGUUAAAUAUUUUAAUACUAGCUGUAAAUGCUACUGCCUUUGAUGUUUGCUUUCUACAUGUAUAUCAUAAUGAAAUAUUGACAAGAUAAUAGCUAAUGUUU
This is a long non-coding RNA of Mya arenaria, 1771 nucleotides long. RefSeq lists it as uncharacterized. NCBI's taxonomy places the organism in Eukaryota, Metazoa, Mollusca, Bivalvia, Myida, Myidae. The record is from RefSeq and is a predicted model, not a curated record. The transcript has 2 exons.